CAGGAACAGCCUUUUACCACCAGAAGCCUCACCAUCUUCGAUUUCCAACAGCCUGUGCAUGCGGCGGUGGAACAUUCUAGCACAUCGACGAGAACCCAGUGGCGGAUGGGGGGGGGGAGUGGCAGCGGCCGGCAAGCUGAAGACAGCCAUGAAUGAAUGAAGCAAAGGGACGCUUUCUUCACCACCAGGUUCCCCCGUCCAGCAUGGAGAUUACAUCUCUAGCAACGGAGCUGAUCCUGGAGCCCUCAGCGGCGGAGGUCCUGAGGGGAAACCGCCACAGCACGCCACAUGGGAAAAGGCUUGUCCAACGCAUCAUUUAACUUUUACCUUUGCCUGUGCUGCACGGUGCAUAACAAGGAGGACUGAAAGACCAGCAAAGGCACGCCUUCCACCAGCAGCCGGAGCAUCAGUCCCGCCGUUCACCACCAGUGCAACGUGAGCAGAAGCACCAUCUGUCCGGUGACCAACCUGCUGAGCUCCGGCGUGGCAUUGUCGUCGUUUGGCAGCCCCAGCAUCCCGGAGGUCCACGGCACGUUCGGGAGCCUCCACGGGGACCCGGUGGGGGCCGGCAACCUCACCCAGCGGAGCCAGUCAGUGCCGCUGAUGGCUCCCACCCACCCUUCUUUCUGGGAGGCCUCUGGAGCUGCCGCCCACCUGAACUCUCUGCCACGAAGAAGGCCACAAAGACACCGGGAAGGGGCUGCAAUUCAUUUUUAAUAAAGACGCCUUGCUGUGGCAGCAGAAAGAGAAUUUCCUCUUUUUACAGGUCUGUAAAUAAAACACAACAUGCUGGUCGAAAAAUAGGGCGCUCUCCACCUUCAGCAUCGCAUCUGAAGCACAUUCCCCAUGUAAAGGGAAAGGGGCCUUUGAUGUUUUGGCACAGAAUCGCCCCUGGAGCCGCCAUUCCAGGCCUCUCUUCGCCUUUUAUGAAGCAGACCGGCGGCGAGCGGUCAGGGCGCGUCUUCCAGGAGCGAGAGCAAAGCUGUAUUCCCGAUCCUUUCUAAACACGCCUUGGCCCCAGUCCCUUCAGGGCUGGCUGGCCGCCCGCCUGUAGCUUCUCCCUGGCGGCAGCCCCCGAGGACGCCGCCGGGGGCCAGGGGGCCUUUGGCAAA
RNAcentral lists this long non-coding RNA (1112 nucleotides) under Pogona vitticeps (central bearded dragon). Its description in RNAcentral is "lncRNA (ENSPVIG00000007339.1)". Lineage: Eukaryota; Metazoa; Chordata; Lepidosauria; Squamata; Agamidae. The record is from RNAcentral.